RNAcentral lists this transfer RNA (73 nucleotides) under Bos taurus (domestic cattle). It matches the Rfam family "tRNA". Rfam says of the family: Transfer RNA (tRNA) molecules are approximately 80 nucleotides in length. Their secondary structure includes four short double-helical elements and three loops (D, anti-codon, and T loops). The record is from Rfam by way of RNAcentral. Lineage: Eukaryota; Metazoa; Chordata; Mammalia; Artiodactyla; Bovidae. RNAcentral also lists the same sequence under 2 other names.
UUCCUAGUGGUCCAGUGGUUAAGACUCUGCAUUCCCAAUGCAGAGGGCACAUGUUUGAUCCCUGGCUGGGGAA